Molecule: long non-coding RNA, 6295 nt
Filed under: Sus scrofa (pig)
Lineage: Eukaryota; Metazoa; Chordata; Mammalia; Artiodactyla; Suidae
Description: lncRNA (ENSSSCG00065022686.1)
Source: RNAcentral
AUGUAUUUAUUGAAAAAAAAAUCCACAUAGAAUGGACCCAUUCAGUCCAAACCCACGUUGUUCAAGGGUAAACUGUGUAUUCUCUUUUCUCCCUCAAAUAUAAAUGUUAGUGCUCUGUAUAUGCUUUUUUUUCGCUUGGAGAGGCAUACGAAGUUCCCAGGCUAGGGGUCAAAUUGGAGCCAGAAUGAGGUGACAAGGGCAGGGCAGCCAGAGCACUUGGUUUUGAGGGACGAGAGAAUGCUUCCAGGGAGCACAGAGGCGAUAAACUUUUCACCAAGACCCCAAAACUGGGAGACAACAUAAAACAGAGCUAUCACAUUGCCUUCUUUUCAGAAGCUGUUUUCUUCUUAAUUGACUCCCUUCCUCAGAGAAGACAGCCUUAUGAUUCUGAGAAUUUGGGUGCAAGAAUAUAUAAUUCUAUUCUUUCCUGUAGCUGUGUGUAUCCCACCCCUGGAGCAGUCUACCGAUAAUUCCUUGCAUCCUUUUCACAUGGGGCUGCCAGGUCCACUUAACCAACAAAUUGUGCUUCUUUAGCUGAAAAUAAAAGCAUCUUGCCAACUACCAUCCUAAUACUCUUCUGUUCCCAGCAGGUAUUUACCACACCCCUUGAGAGUCUAACAGAUAGAUCUAUUAAAAAUAACAGUGUUGUAGGUUAGUGGAAGGUAUGAUUAAAUAACACAAUUGAUUUUUUUUUUAAUGAAUGCACUAGAACUUUUCUCUUUAAUUCACACGAACAAUGCCUCCAUCAAAGUAAUGCCCUUAGAAGACUAUUUAUUUAUUGUAAUGAUUCCUCUGACCAACACAUUUUAAAAGUUCUUUUAUUAAUAUUUUCUACAGCAUCAUUGGAUAGAGUAUUGAUUUAACUUAGCUGCCUUUGGCCUGUGAUGCAAAUAUGCUGUGUUAAAUAAAACUGUCCCUCUUUUUCUUCCUUUUCCUCUUUCUAUAUACAACAGAAAAUAAAACUCAGAGGACUCUCCUCUGCUUCUUUGAAUAGCAAAGAGCUCUGCUCACUGGGGAGUAGGCUGUCUUAGUUUGUAUUGAAUGCCAGGACUUCUGGGCUGGCCACCAUACCCGUGUCACCAACCAGCCUCAUGAGGGAUUCACCUCCCACCUUCCUUUUGGGGUGGUGGUGGAGGAAAGCAGUGCCAGGAAGAAUAACGCCUUUGGCUGUCUCAAGUUCCCUGGUCUGGUUAAGGAGAGGGUAUUUACUCAGGGGUAUGGUGGUACGUGGGGAAGCCAACCCCAUUAGUGUGGGCUGGUCAUCAGAAUGGGGACAAAGAUACAUUCUUCAUUUCUAGACUGUGGCUGGUCAACAUCAAGUGCCAGGAUUAAAAUUUCACCUUCACUGAGGGGUGGCUGUGCAGGCUGGCAAGGUCAGUGCUCCCACGGCCCUCAGCUAGUAUCUUCUCCAUCGCAUUGACCUCAACCCACUGUUUACAUCUCUGCUGCCCAUGGAGUUCCCAUCGUGGCUCAGUGAUUAACGAAUCCGACUAGGAACCAUGAGGUUGCAGGUUUGCUCCCUGGCCUCGCUCAGUGGGUUAAGGAUCCGGCGUUGCCAUGAGCUGUGGUGUAGGUCGCAGACAUGGCUCGGAUCCUGAGUUGCUGUGGCUCUGGCGUAGGCCGGCGGCUACAUCUCCUAUUGGACCCCUGGCCUGGGAACCUCCUUAUGCCUCGGGUGCGGCCCUAGAAAAGACAAAGGAAAGAAAAAAAAAUCCCUGCUGCCCUGCUAGACUCUGCCUCUCUGCUGUGAUUUGUUCAUCCCACUAUAUAGCACUUUUCUUACACACAAGUGAACAAUCAGCAGAUAUGGCUGCCCUUUUAAGCCCAUGUAAUUGGGCAUCUCAAUUCAAACUUGCUUUGGUCAGGGUAGGUCAUCUGAAUGUAAAAGGGCCACUCUGACCAGGAUCCUUUCAGCCAUUUGAUGGCCAUGGGGCUCUAAGAAAGAGCUCAUUCCCUAAGUGCUUGAGACCCCAGUCUACUGGGAGGUCAUGGACAGAAAGUUAGACAAGGCGGCAGGACUGCUGGGCACGGGGUCACCACCCAGAUAUGUGACUGAGGCAAGUUAUUUCAUUCCUCUGGAGCCAGAUGGCCUCGUCCUACAAUUCUCCUUAGUGUCAAGAGUUCUCCAGUCCUGCCUGUCGUCUUCCCUUUAAGGACAGUAGAGAAGCCUCCUGCUCCCACAGAAGUGUGUACAGGAAUUAAGUUGUCCAGGCAAACAAACCUUUGAAGGAAGAAUUUCUAUGCUGCUGUGAAUGGUUUACUCUGAGGACUCAGUGAGGUCUUAGAAAUCUUCAUUCAAUGACACAGAUAGAUAGACAGACUUUAAUCUGUGAGCCAAGAGAAAUGGUUUAUAAAGGCUAGAAGAAAAGAACCCCAUGGCUAAGAACUUGUAAAAACAUCUACCACAAACAAGAGUUCUAAGAGAAAGACUGUGAAUCAGCAGGAUCACAGGGAGGUAGAGAAUGAGCUUUGAAAUGGCAGAGAAUUAACUGGCUAAAGGGCAAAUGGUUGCAGAAUGCCACUGCAGGAGGUGACACAUAGGAUCCAAGCAGUACCUGGAAUCAACAGAGGACAACUAGACAUAGUUUCAUCCCAGGCCUGUGCCAAUGGGACAGACUAGACUACCAUACUAGCAUUUUCCAGAUGGGAAGCGGUACCACCGAGAUUUCUUAGUUUAGAAAGCCAAAAAACCCAAUCUUGGGAGGGAAAGAAGGAAGUGAGAGUGGGCAGGAAUGACAUUUUCCACUCCCUUCAAGGACAGUUCUGCACAAGCUACAAAGGCAAAGGCAGAAUGUAGACAGAAGCCCACCCCCACAGUCUCUGCCUUCUAGGAACUCUAGCCAGCAGGCGAGGAAGACAGGUCAACAAAACCCACCACCCAAGGUACUAUCAAGGAUAAAACUGGUACACACUUUACCAUUACAAAGCAUUUUACAUCAUGUCACUUAAUUCUCACACUGGUCAGUGGGCCAGAAGAAGAUUUAUGUAACUUGCCCAAGGCAUCUCAGUUGUGAUGCCAUUUGACCAAUUAUAGGAAUUUCACAUACUAUUGUAGGAACUAUAAGAGAGAGUCUGAAGUCACAGAGGUUUCCAAGGACAAUAAUGCCCAUAGGAGAGACAGGCACCAUGCUGGUUGCUUUACCAACACCAACUCCAGUGCUUAAAAGAGACUCCAGUCCCACACUGACUCCUACUUGCUCUAUAAACGAAGGUGGGAUAAAUACUAAUUAUUUCUACUUCGCAGCUAGGAAAUCUAAGGUGAAGCCAAAAAUGUAAACACAGUUCUGUCUGAUGGCCAAGUCACUAGUCCUUUCAUCCUGGCAGCUUUUAGGUGCCGCAUGAAACAGAAUUCCAUGUAAUGAGUGCAGGAGAUGAGCAAAUAUAGCAACAAAAACAAUGCAUCGCAUUACACUUAACUUCUUAUAUUUCUUUUUACAAGGAAAAAUGCUCAGUCUGAGGCUGGCAUUUGUUAACACCUCUCCAAUACUAAUGUUCCUCCCUCUUUUAAAAAAUGGUAAGCUCAGAACCUUUCAACAAGUAACAGUAGCUAGAAUUUAGUAACAACACAUUGUUUUCAGUAUAUUUUGUUUUUAUGGUUACUUUCUAUUUAUUGCAAAUGGUACUUAUUUUCCAAUUAUGGAAAUAAUAUAGUUUCUUUUUAACGUAAACUUAGGUUAAGUUUUUUAAAGAGGGAUAACUUUAAAAGACAACAUUAAGUAGUUCAGAGUGCAGGUGGUGGAGACAGAGCAGAAAACAUAAGCAGAACAGGAGGGCUGAAAUUUAGAAAUGCUGCUCUAAGUCAUACUGGCCCUCAGAACGCAACUGCUUCUGCCCCGUUUUGAACUGGUGCUUCCUUGUGGCUUGAGUAAAUGGGACAAGUAUGUUCUCUGGAACCCUCAACUCUGAGGCCACAAGAUUCCCAGCUGAGCAUGUCCCAGCCAUGAUCUCUGGAACGAGCUACACUAAUGAACACCACAUAUUCAGGCUGUCAGACAAUUACGUGAACAGGUGUUAGGAGUGGAUAUUAACAGGUGUUUGACUUGGGCAGGGGUCAGAAAACUAUGACUGGUGGGCUACGUCCAGCCCAAAGCCUGUUCUUGUAAGUAAAGUUUCAUUGAAAUGCUCUUGCUUGUUUAUAUAUUGUCUACAGCUGCUUUCCCACUGCAAUGGCAGAGACUACACAGACCACAAGGCCUAAUAUAUUUACUCUCUGGCUUUUAAAAAAAAAGCAGCCAACCCUUGGACUGCAGAGGACAGACACUGAAAUUGAGAAGAUGUGAGUGUAGUUCAAGGGCCAGAGCAGUAACUCCGCCAGAUAUUAAGUCAGAAACUCCCUCUUGGAAAUGGCAGAUGGGUGGGAAGAAAUCUGAGUGGAAAACUGAAGCAGGAAGAAGAGCAAAGCCAUGAUCAAAACUUGAGAAGCAGAGAUGAAAAGGGGCAGGGGAGCAGCAGAGCUAACGCUCUUGGAUCUUUUGGAGUCAAGAGCUUCCCCUUUGGUGGGCUAUUCUGGGCCUCCCUGUCCUCCAAAGGGUUACUGCCCCUUGCAGCUCAAAGGAGCCAUGUCUUUGGGAAACCAGGGGCCCAGUCAUGCCUUGCCAGGUGGUAUCACUAUGAACCAUGAUGGGACUGUGAUGGUCAGAGAUGAAAUUGGGUGGGGAGAGGAACUAACAGCUAGAUUUGGGAAAGUGGAAACUGGGGAGACAGAUGACUACCAAGUCAUGACAACUGCAGAAGUCUUUUUUAAGAGGGCGAGGAGGCUGUAUGAAUAAAGUAGGCAGUGGGUGAUAACUGCAGGCAUCUGAGCAGGGCGGUCAUUCCUACACCAUUCAUGAGGCAGAGACAGUGGGGUGUGACAAAGCUCUACAAAACCUUAAGAUACUACUUAUCUUUGACAAUGUACAAAAGACAAAAUGGAUUGGGCUUACUAGAAUAAAGGUGUUAAUAAAGUGGCUAUCACUAGCCGUGUGAAAGUCUGCUCCAGCCACAGGCUCAACAACACCUAUGUCAGUGUUCGCUCAUGUGCUCAUCUGCAUGGAUGUUUCUAUGGGUUAAACAGAAAGAGAGCAGUGAUGACCCUGAAGUGACCAGCAGUGUUGACUGGGGAGUGAAGGCUGGGGUACAAAGAAGUGAGCUUUGGUAGAGACAAACGCAAAUGAGAGAAGCAAGUUGGACUGGCUCCCAGGGCCACUGCUAUAUGUUUACACCUGGUGGGAGUGAGGGAGGGCCAAGUGUAGUUUUUGUUCAUUUCCAUAAUGCAAAUACUUCCACCAUAGCUAAUUUAAAGCUACUAAGGUGAUGUCACCAGACAAAAGUUAGAAAGAGAUGCCAACAAAUGGCUCCUCCAACCAACCCCUGGAAAUCCAGCACUUUGCCCCCAGCAGUUCUUACCCAGAUGAUGUGGGAGGAUGCUGACAAGUCACUCGGAAGUCCUGCUGCUGAGCUACCCCUCCCACCCAAGUACCCAGGGACUGAAACCUUAUAGCUGAUAUUCAAAAAAGGUUUUGGAAGAAACUCGAUUUCAGAUUUCAGAACAACUUCAUUCUGCAGAUAAGGAAACCGAGGCUCAGCACUUUAGAACUGCUCACCACUUCAGGCUACAUGGCAAGGCUGGGAUUAUGCCGUGUAUGACCAGAAACAAAUUCUGAAAACAAUGAGUGCCUAACUUUAGAGAGAAGAGGUAGUCCACAGUCAAGCCACAUCAAAAUGUAGCUGAUACAGGGCUGGCAAAUUACUCCCAGGGCUGCCUGGUCAAAGAAGAAAAAAGAAAGGUCACUAGGAAAGCCUCAAAGCUUUGUGUGUGUCUCUGUGAGUGUAUGUGUGUACACAAGAGUGUGUGCAUGUGAACAGGUAGAUGUCACAAAGCAUCAACUGCCACCUCCUGUGUGUUGUCAACAGGGCAAGAAACCCCAGGCAUCUUAUGUGAUAUAAUAAAAAAUUUCUAUGUGAAUUUUAACCAGUUAAUGUCACAUAUGAAAGUAGUUCAUGCUCUCUUCUCCUUCCAAGUGAAGUUUUUUCUCCUUACCCCUAAAUUUUACUUAUUUACUUAUUUGUCUUUUUAGGGCCAUACCCAAGGCAUAUGGAGGUUCUCAGACUAGGGGUCCAAUCCAAGCUGUAGCUGCCUAUGUAGCUGGCCUACGCCACAGCCACAGCAACUCAGGAUCUGAGCCACAUCUGCGACCUACACCACAGCUCACCACAGUGCCAGAUCCUUAACCCACUGAGCAAGGCCAGGGAUCAAACCUGCAUCCUCAUGGAUGCUAGUCAGACUCAUUAAACACUGAGCCAUGAUGGGAAC